CCGGUGGUAGCAAAGCGGUUAUGCGUCGGUCUGUAAAACCGAUCUAGGCAGGUUCAACUCCUGCCCACCGGA
Molecule: transfer RNA, 72 nt
Filed under: Candidatus Shapirobacteria bacterium CG_4_10_14_0_2_um_filter_40_12
Lineage: Bacteria; Candidatus Shapironibacteriota
Also listed under: 1 other name
Description: tRNA-Tyr
Rfam family: tRNA
About the family: Transfer RNA (tRNA) molecules are approximately 80 nucleotides in length.
Source: RNAcentral